RNAcentral lists this ribosomal RNA (364 nucleotides) under uncultured bacterium. RNAcentral describes it as "bacterial SSU rRNA". It matches the Rfam family "Bacterial small subunit ribosomal RNA", at positions 282 to 658 of the family's 1533-position model. The record is from RNAcentral.
GGUAGCCGGCCUGAGAGGGCGACCGGCCACACUGGGACUGAGACACGGCCCAGACUCCUACGGGAGGCAGCAGUGGGGAAUAUUGGGCAAUGGAGGAAACUCUGACCCAGCGACGCCGCGUGCGGGAUGAAGGCCUUCGGGUUGUAAACCGCUUUCAGUAGGGAAGAAGCGAAAGUGACGGUACCUACAAAAGAAGCACCGGCUAACUAUGUGCCAGCAGCCGCGGUAAUACAUAGGGUGCAAGCGUUGUCCGGAAUUAUUGGGCGUAAAGAGCUCGUAGGUCGUUUGUUACGUCGGAUGUGAAAACCUGAGGCUCAACCUCAGGCCUGCAUUCGAUACGGGCAAACUAGAGUUUGGUAGGGGA